Molecule: non-coding RNA, 112 nt
Filed under: uncultured Succinimonas sp.
Lineage: Bacteria; Pseudomonadati; Pseudomonadota; Gammaproteobacteria; Aeromonadales; Succinivibrionaceae
Description: Ribosomal S15 leader
Rfam family: Ribosomal S15 leader
About the family: The E. coli Ribosomal S15 gene 5' UTR can form two alternative structures. One that is a series of three hairpins, The other includes a pseudoknot.
Source: RNAcentral
CGGCUGAGUUAGUGAUCGGCCGAGGGCGUAUAUCAACUCAACAAUUACAGAGGUUUUACAAUGUCACUAAGCACCGAAGCCAAGGCUCAGAUCGUAGCCGAAUAUGCACGUU